RNAcentral lists this small nuclear RNA (99 nucleotides) under Microcebus murinus (gray mouse lemur). Lineage: Eukaryota; Metazoa; Chordata; Mammalia; Primates; Cheirogaleidae. The record is from RNAcentral.
GUGCUCAUUUUGUUAGCACCUAUCCUAAAAUUAGAUCGUUACAGAGAAGAUUUGCCUGGUCUGUGUGCAAGGAAGCCCAGAUCUCAUUUCCAAUUUUUU